UGACAAAGUCACCCAAAAAAAAACAGGGACUGAGACAAGACAAACUGACCCUUGAAAGAUCUGUUUAAAUUUGCACACACAAAGAUAGAAAUAUGAAUGCUGUGUGCUGAAGUGCUUACAGUGCCAUUUCACUUGUUAGCAGGUGUUUCUUUGUGUGUGUGUAUAAGAGAAAGUUUUGGACACCUCUUACCGUACAAUGGUGUUGACAGGCCUCUGAUUGCUCAUUACAUCGACUCAUCCCUACUGCUUCUCCUUUGCCCUCUGUUCCUGACACCACUCAUCUGGAAUUCUGAUGAUUCAGCGACUGUCGAACGGAUGGUUUGACAACGUCUGGAACUUGAUCCAGGGUGGUGGUCCAGACCAGUGGGGUUCUCCAACCUCUAAACUGACCUAGUUCAAGGUCAUCCCCUGGGCACGGAGGUGGAGGUGACCCUAGAAUUUCCCUAGGUAGCACCUACUAGGCCAAACACCUGUCUGGGAAAGCUGUAAAACUUGGAGGGAACAAUGGCAUGUAGUAACAUUACAUUUUACACAAUGUUCUCCCCCAAUACUGUACAGAUCAGUUGGAAGAACACAUUGAACCUACCUAUGCGGGACUCCAGGGGAAAUGUAUCAUCCCAGCAGGGAUCAAGCUUAAGCCAAUUGACCCUGAGAUUUCAUACUCGCCAUUCCAUUGGUCCUUGACCUCUGUAUAUAGCAUCCCAGUAGUCCCUGGAGUCCAUACUCACCAUCCAAUUUGUCUUGGGAGUCCUUCCUCACCAUCCCAUUGGUCUUGGAGUCCAUACUCACCAUCCAAUUGGUCUUGGGAGUGAAUACUGUCUGAAAACCACACAGAAAACAUGUUACUCAUGUGUACAAGCUGUCCGUGUCUCAUACAACAAAUGAAUGCAUAACGAAAUGUGACCACGAUCAUACGGUUGUCAGUAGGCUCUAUUGUGACGACACCGUUUAUAAUGAUCGACGCAUCGACGUGUUGACCACGCCUCAAUUGACAAACUCCACCAUCUGAAUCUCUUGUUCAUUUAGUGUAUUCACUGUUCAUUUAUAGAAAACAUGUUUUUAGAUUAAUUGCAAUUGCCAGCUUCUAAUCAGCGAUCUAGUGUGGUUGUACAGUACUAACUAAACACAUUAGCCAGCCAACGUUUGUGUCAUUAGUUCUACUAUGUUUAAGAAAAAGAACGUAGGUUAACUAAGUUUCACCCGAAACUAUUGUUUAUAACCGAUUACUAUGACUUGAGUAAACUACGGUAACGUAUGCUGAAGUUCAAUUUAUCCUUUUCGCUUGGACUGGCGAUCAAGUGAACAAUUGGUAACAUGGGGUCCCUGGAAUGACUACUUGCGGUGAGGGUCCCUUGAAAAAAGAAUUAAAGAGCCCUGUUAUGCUUAAAAGGUCCCAGAGUUACAUUUAAAAAAUUUUUUUUAGAGAUAUAUCCAGUAUAGGUGUGUGGUGGUCUGAGAAGGACACUCCCGACG
This is a long non-coding RNA of Esox lucius (northern pike), 1473 nucleotides long. Lineage: Eukaryota; Metazoa; Chordata; Actinopteri; Esociformes; Esocidae. The record is from Ensembl.